RNAcentral lists this ribosomal RNA (546 nucleotides) under Triticum aestivum (bread wheat). RNAcentral's name for it is "partial small subunit ribosomal RNA". The record is from RNAcentral. Lineage: Eukaryota; Viridiplantae; Streptophyta; Magnoliopsida; Poales; Poaceae.
AUGGCGCUGCCGGCGCAGGUCGCCGCCUCGCGUCUCCUCCUCCCUCCCUCGCGCCGGCUCACGUCGGCUCCGAGUCCGGCGCCUCCUCUCCUCCGCUCUGGCCCUGGCCCCGGCUCCUGCCGGUGGACGCGGCGGGCGAGCGUGCGGGUCCGCGCGGGCGCCGGCGGCGGAGGCGGGCGAAGGAGGGAGUCCCCGCACGAGGUGCUCGGCGUGGCGCCGUCGGCGUCGCCCGCGGAGAUCAAGCGCGCGUACCGGCGCCUCGCGCUCAAGUACCACCCGGACGUCAACAAGGAGGCGGAUGCUCAGGCGAAGUUCCUGAGGAUCAAGCACGCCUACAACACGCUGAUGAACUCGGAGAUCCGAUCCAAGCACGCCGAGGCAGAAGAGGAGUUCGAUUGGCUCGCGGCUAUCAUUGAAAGCAUGGAAGCAUUUCAGUUUCAGGACUCGGAUGAUGAGCUGGAUUUCGACUGGAGACCUGAAGGCCUGUGGGAACAUGUGUUUGCGUAUUCUCUAAUUAUAUCCAUGCUUAUCUACGUUCUCAUAUAA